RNAcentral lists this transfer RNA (72 nucleotides) under Camelus bactrianus (Bactrian camel). It matches the Rfam family "tRNA". Rfam says of the family: Transfer RNA (tRNA) molecules are approximately 80 nucleotides in length. Their secondary structure includes four short double-helical elements and three loops (D, anti-codon, and T loops). Lineage: Eukaryota; Metazoa; Chordata; Mammalia; Artiodactyla; Camelidae. RNAcentral also lists the same sequence under 2 other names. The record is from Rfam by way of RNAcentral.
GAGGGUAUAGCUCAAUGACAGAAUGCAUGCUUAGCAGGCACAAGGUCCUGGGUUCAAUCCCCAGUACCUCCA